This 175-nucleotide ribosomal RNA is filed under the name uncultured bacterium. Its description in RNAcentral is "partial 16S ribosomal RNA". It matches the Rfam family "Bacterial small subunit ribosomal RNA", at positions 118 to 291 of the family's 1533-position model. The record is from RNAcentral.
UGAGGAACAUGACUUUCGGCGGGGGAUAGCCGGCCCAACGGCCGGGUAAUACCGCGUACGACCACAUGGGGACAUCCCUGAUUGGUGAAAGCAGCAAUGCGCCGAUGGAGUGCCUCGCGGCCUAUCAGCUAGUUGGUGAGGUAACGGCUCACCAAGGCAACGACGGGUAGCUGGU